This is an RNA transcript of Strigops habroptila (Kakapo), 1130 nucleotides long. It is a transcript of the gene named DnaJ heat shock protein family (Hsp40) member C17, with no coding region annotated. The transcript has 11 exons. The record is from RefSeq and is a predicted model, not a curated record. Lineage: Eukaryota; Metazoa; Chordata; Aves; Psittaciformes; Psittacidae.
AGGCCGGGAGCGCCGAGAUGGCGGUCGGUAAGGACCUGCUGCAGCUGGACCUGUACAGACUGCUGGGGGUCGGCGAGAAGGCGUCGGAGCAGGAGGUGAAGAAAGCGUACCGGCAGAAGGCGCUGACAUGUCACCCCGACAAGAACCCAGACAACCCCAGGGCAGGUCUCUUCCAUAAGGAAAUGUCUUUCCUGGUUCACCCCCAGGCCACUAGCAUGGUUUCCUGCAUCUCACCCUUUUUUCUUCUAAUCCCCAGCGGAAAUCUUCCACCAACUGUCUCAGGCCUUAGCGGUGCUCACAGAUGCAGCAGCGAGGGCAGCGUAUGACAGAGUGCGAAAGGCCAAGAAACAGGCUGCAGAGAAGACACACAGACUUGAUGAGAAGCGAAAGAAAGUGAAGCUUGACCUUGAAGCCAGAGAACGAGAAGCUCAGGCCCAUGAGAGUGAAGAGGAGGAGAUCAGGACAACGAGAUCAUUAGAACAAGAAAUAAUACGCCUGCGUGAAGAAGGUUCCCGACAGCUCAAGGAGCAGCAGAGACUCAUUCAGGAGCAGAUCCAGCAUGAAAGAGAGCAGCACUUCCAAGUCAAGCAAGAAAGGAAUGGAACAGAAGGCAAAAUAACCCCUAAACUCAAACUCAAAUGGAAAUGCAGGAAGGAAGAUGAGGCGAAAGGGGGAUACUCAGAAGAUGUUCUGCUGCAGAUCCUGCAAAAGUAUGGUGAUGUGCUCAACUUGGUGAUCUCCAGUAGGAAGACUGGGAGUGCAGUUGUGGAAUUUGCUACGGUUAAGGCUGCUGAGAUGGCUGUGAAGAAUGAAGUUGGCCUGAUAAAUAACCCUCUCAAGAUUUCCUGGCUGGAGGGCCAGCCCCAAAACAAUCCCAGCACCAUCCUUCCUGACAGCAGUAGUGAGCCCAGGACUUCCCAGGAAUCAGUGGUAUCAGAACGGGACUAUGAGAGCCUGGUGAUGAUGAGGAUGCGCCAAGCAGCAGAGAGGCAGCAGCUUAUUGCACAGCUCAAGCGGGAAGAGGAGGAGUCUCACACCUAACAUGAGAGAGGAUGGAUUCUCCCACCCCAGCAUUCUGCAUUUCCAAAGCUGCUUCUUAAUUUAAAGUCAAUAAACCUCCUUUUAUAAGC